Long non-coding RNA from Pogoniulus pusillus (Red-fronted tinkerbird), 974 nucleotides. RefSeq lists it as uncharacterized. The record is from RefSeq and is a predicted model, not a curated record. NCBI's taxonomy places the organism in Eukaryota, Metazoa, Chordata, Aves, Piciformes, Lybiidae. The transcript is spliced from 4 exons.
AAUGAUAUAUGCUUGAAUGGGUCCAGUAGAUUAUGCCUGAACUGCAGGACACACUGCCACUAUUUAGUUGGGCGUGCUGGAAGUAUUCGUGUAGAACUGGGCACUGCUUCUAAUCAUUUCAUUAGAAGAAUGGUUUCAAAAUGCUUGUUUUCAGUGAUGUCCAAUAUAAAUAUUCCCUGUUUGGAAGUUGAGAGCACUUGCAGACAGACCAGUCCUGUGAAGUCCCUUUAGCUCUACACGACCUUCAUCAAUUUCUUUGAAUCCUUGAGCUGUUCCUCAGUUGGGCUGAUAGUCACUGUGAAGAUGCAUUGCAGCUUACAACAGAACUGUAUUGCAAGGGGAAAUCCUCUUAGAAUUUGUUGUUCACCUGGAUCAAAGCUCAGCUGUCAGUAUGUAUGGCAAUUACUGUUUUGUCCUGAACUUCACUUUUCCAGUGUUUAAACUGAAACAUAACAAUCCACACUACAAGCUUUAUAAAUAUUAACACAUUUAUAUAUGGCACUCUCUGAUUUGUCACAUAGCUUUGUCCUCCUUUCAAGAACCUCUCUAUUGGGCUAAUCAAGACAAACUGCAUGGUUUGCUACUGUGUACAGCUUUUUGUGGAUGGCAGACAUUACUGUCUUCUACAAAAGAAUACACACCAUAGAAACAUCCCUGUUCCAUUUUGCAUGUAUAAAACAUGGCGAUGUCCUAUCUUCAAACUUCCCAUCUAAAUUAAUUACAAACUGACCUUAAGUAAUGAGGGAGCAAGUCCUCUUAGAGUAACUUUAAUGCUUUAUAUUUUUUCAUGUUCUAAAGGGCACAGUCAUAUUGCUACAGUUAAGCAUCUGUCAGCAUUACAGUUUUAAAACCUUUAGAGAGAAAGGGGGGCUUGUGGUACAAGUAUCAGCAUUUUCUGGGAUAUGAAAACUGACAUCUGUUAUUUCAGCUAGGGAUUCUUUCAUAUGCAUAUAUUAAAUUACCUAUUUUUUCCC